RNAcentral lists this ribosomal RNA (253 nucleotides) under uncultured bacterium. RNAcentral's name for it is "partial 16S ribosomal RNA". It matches the Rfam family "Bacterial small subunit ribosomal RNA", at positions 524 to 776 of the family's 1533-position model. The record is from RNAcentral.
UACGAAGGGGGCUAGCGUUGCUCGGAAUCACUGGGCGUAAAGGGUGCGUAGGCGGGUCUUUAAGUCAGGGGGUAAAUCCUGGAGCUCAACUCCAGAACUGCCUUUGAUACUGAAGAUCUUGAGUUCGGGAGAGGUGAGUGGAACUGCGAGUGUAGAGGUGAAAUUCGUAGAUAUUCGCAAGAACACCAGUGGCGAAGGCGGCUCACUGGCCCGAUACUGACGCUGAGGCACGAAAGCGUGGGGAGCAAACAGG